AGCCACACGAUAUCUCUUGCGUGCAUUUUGUCUGAUUUACAUUUAGCCUCCUUUUCCGUAUCUGAUGCCGAAUCCGUUCUCCCACGAGUACAAAUUGUAAAAAUCGUACGCCUCUCCAAGCUUGUCAAAGCUCGUACCUAUUUUUGGCAAACUGCCUGAUUGUUUUCUCUAGGACUGAUAUCCUAUCAGGGCAUGGUGCUCUGCCCAGAGCAGCAGCUCCAACCCUCACCCUGCAAAACAAAUGACAUUUGGCACCGGUACAGAGGCACAUUUUAUUUUAAACCAUACAGAAUAAACACUUAUGUGAUAACACACUGAAUCUGUUCAUUUGUUCUGCUCAAACAACUUUUUGCCUGUCUUUUUACUGCAUUUUUGUUUAUGACAUGGCCAUACCAAAAAUCGCAUGACAACUACCGUGAGCACUUAAAUAUACUUAGUCUGUUUACUCAUCAUAGUUUAUUUAACCACGGAACCAUAUGAAUUAACCAUCAAAUUUUUCUCCACAGGCAUGGAAUGUUUGGAACAGGAACCAACAAGCAGCACGCAUACAGGACCCCAAGUCUACACUGUGUCUAUGCUUCAGACCCCAAGUCUACACUGUGUCUAUGCUUCAGACAUAUUCAUGCUGAAUAUUACUACCAGUGCUAUGUAAUUUCUCCUCACACAACACCGCCCUCCCCAAAAAAGGUAAUUUGUUAACUAUCUGACCUAACCAAAACUAAAAGUAGUUCAGAUCAUCUGUAUGUACCUUUUAGUCCAGCCAG
RNAcentral lists this long non-coding RNA (764 nucleotides) under Triticum aestivum (bread wheat). RNAcentral describes it as "long non-coding RNA (TAES_LNC023681)". The record is from RNAcentral. Lineage: Eukaryota; Viridiplantae; Streptophyta; Magnoliopsida; Poales; Poaceae.